Molecule: ribosomal RNA, 253 nt
Filed under: uncultured bacterium
Lineage: Bacteria
Description: partial 16S ribosomal RNA
Rfam family: Bacterial small subunit ribosomal RNA
Source: RNAcentral
UACGAAGGGGGCAAGCGUUGUUCGGAAUUACUGGGCGUAAAGCGCAUGUAGGCGGCCACUCAAGCCAGAGGUGAAAUCCCGGAGCUCAACUUCGGAACUGCCUUUGGAACUGUGUGGCUGGAGUCUCGGAGGGGAUGGUGGAAUUCCAAGUGUAGAGGUGAAAUUCGUAGAUAUUUGGAGGAACACCGGUGGCGAAGGCGGCCAUCUGGACGAGUACUGACGCUGAGAUGCGAAAGCGUGGGGAGCAAACAGG